Lactuca sativa (garden lettuce) is the source of this 287-nucleotide long non-coding RNA. RefSeq lists it as uncharacterized. NCBI's taxonomy places the organism in Eukaryota, Viridiplantae, Streptophyta, Magnoliopsida, Asterales, Asteraceae. The record is from RefSeq and is a predicted model, not a curated record.
GUUGGUUUUGCAUACUCUUAUCGUUAAUUAUUGUUGUUGGUGCAGUCGAUGACUAUCGACCCCAACUGUCAUAAGGUAAUUUGGUGUGGGGGGAGAUGGAAGGUAAUGGAAGAUAGGGAAGAGUGUAGGAGCAGUUUUGAAUGCUGCCUGCUCAACAACAAUCCUCAAUGAAAAAUCUGGUUGAGAGUGUGUUUCUACUUGGUAAAAUGUAUCAUCGAUCUCUUCUUCUUACAUUAAACUUUGAUUUGUUACAAGAUUGUAAAUACAUUGCCACUCUUGUAGGAUAA